GACGAACGCUGGCGGCGUGCUUAACACAUGCAAGUCGAACGGAAAGGCCCUGCUUUUGUGGGGUGCUCGAGUGGCGAACGGGUGAGUAACACGUGAGUAACCUGCCCUUGACUUUGGGAUAACUUCAGGAAACUGGGGCUAAUACCGGAUAGGAGCUCCUGCUGCAUGGUGGGGGUUGGAAAGUUUCGGCGGUUGGGGAUGGACUCGCGGCUGAUCAGCUUGUUGGUGGGGUAGUGGCUACCAAGGCUUUGACGGGUAGCCGGCCUGAGAGGGUGACCGGCCACAUUGGGACUGAGAUACGGCCCAGACUCCUACGGGAGGCAGCAGUGGGGAAUAUUGCACAAUGGGCGGAAGCCUGAUGCAGCAACGCCGCGUGCGGGAUGACGGCCUUCGGGUUGUAAACCGCUUUCGCCUGUGACGAAGCGUGAGUGACGGUAAUGGGUAAAGAAGCACCGGCUAACUACGUG
This 467-nucleotide ribosomal RNA is filed under the name uncultured bacterium. RNAcentral's name for it is "partial 16S ribosomal RNA". It matches the Rfam family "Bacterial small subunit ribosomal RNA", at positions 28 to 507 of the family's 1533-position model. The record is from RNAcentral.